RNAcentral lists this ribosomal RNA (308 nucleotides) under uncultured Pyramidobacter sp. RNAcentral's name for it is "bacterial SSU rRNA". It matches the Rfam family "Bacterial small subunit ribosomal RNA", at positions 28 to 339 of the family's 1533-position model. Lineage: Bacteria; Thermotogati; Synergistota; Synergistia; Synergistales; Dethiosulfovibrionaceae. The record is from RNAcentral.
GAUGAACGCUGGCGGCGUGCUUAACACAUGCAAGUUGUGCGGGGAUCUGUUAAUGAGACUUCGGUGGAUUUAUCAGAUCUUAGCAGCGGACGGGUGAGUAAAGCACAAGGACGUGUCCUUGAGAGGGGGACAACUGCGGGAAACCGUAGCUAAUACCCCGUAAGCCGAGAGGUGAAAGCGAAAGCGCUGAGGGAGCGACUUGUGUCCUAUCAGGUAGUUGGUGAGGCAACGGCUCACCAAGCCGAAGACGGGUAGCCGGACUGAGAGGUUGUACGGCCACAUUGGAACUGAGAGACGGUCCAGACUCC